GCUGGGUGGAUUAGUGGCGAACGGGUGAGUAACACGUGAGCAACCUGCCCCUGACUCUGGGAUAAGCGCUGGAAACGGCGUCUAAUACUGGAUAUGUCCCGUCACCGCAUGGUGUGCGGGUGGAAAGAUUUUUCGGUUGGGGAUGGGCUCGCGGCCUAUCAGCUUGUUGGUGAGGUAAUGGCUCACCAAGGCGUCGACGGGUAGCCGGCCUGAGAGGGUGACCGGCCACACUGGGACUGAGACACGGCCCAGACUCCUACGGGAGGCAGCAGUGGGGAAUAUUGCACAAUGGGCGGAAGCCUGAUGCAGCAACGCCGCGUGAGGGAUGACGGCCUUCGGGUUGUAAACCUCUUUUAGCAGGGAAGAAGCGAAAGUGACGGUACCUGCAGAAAAAGCACCGGCUAACUACGUGCCAGCAGCCGCGGUAAUACGUAGGGUGCAAGCGUUAUCCGGAAUUAUUGGGCGUAAAGAGCUCGUAGGCGGUCUGUCGCGUCUGCUGUGAAAUUCCGAGGCUCAACCUCGGGCUUGCAGUGGGUACGGGCAGACUAGAGUGCGGUAGGGGAGAUUGGAAUUCCUGGUGUAGCGGUGGAAUGCGCAGAUAUCAGGAGGAACACCGAUGGCGAAGGCAGAUCUCUGGGCCGUAACUGACGCUGAGGAGCGAAAGGGUGGGGAGCAAACAGGCUUAGAUACCCUGGUAGUCCACCCCGUAAACGUUGGGAACUAGUUGUGGGGUCCUUUCCACGGAUUCCGUGACGCAGCCUAACGCAUUAAGUUCCCCCGCCUGGGGAGUACGGGCCGCAAGGCUAAAACUCAAAGGAAUUGACGGGGACCCGCACAAGCGGCGGAGCAUGCGGAUUAAUUCGAUGCAACGCGAAGAACCUUACCAAGGCUUGACAUACACGAGAACGGGCCAGAAAUGGUCAACUCUUUGGACACUCGUGAACAGGUGGUGCAUGGUUGUCGUCAGCUCGUGUCGUGAGAUGUUGGGUUAAGUCCCGCAACGAGCGCAACCCUCGUUCUAUGUUGCCAGCACGUAAUGGUGGGAACUCAUGGGAUACUGCCGGGGUCAACUCGGAGGAAGGUGGGGAUGACGUCAAAUCAUCAUGCCCCUUAUGUCUUGGGCUUCACGCAUGCUACAAUGGCCGGUACAAUGGGCUGCGAUACCGUAAGGUGGAGCGAAUCCCAAAAAGCCGGUCCCAGUUCGGAUUGAGGUCUGCAACUCGACCUCAUGAAGUCGGAGUCGCUAGUAAUCGCAGAUCAGCAACGCUGCGGUG
This 1274-nucleotide ribosomal RNA is filed under the name Microbacterium esteraromaticum. RNAcentral's name for it is "bacterial SSU rRNA". It matches the Rfam family "Bacterial small subunit ribosomal RNA", at positions 82 to 1364 of the family's 1533-position model. The record is from RNAcentral. Lineage: Bacteria; Bacillati; Actinomycetota; Actinomycetes; Micrococcales; Microbacteriaceae.